RNAcentral lists this ribosomal RNA (296 nucleotides) under uncultured bacterium. RNAcentral's name for it is "partial 16S ribosomal RNA". It matches the Rfam family "Bacterial small subunit ribosomal RNA", at positions 334 to 647 of the family's 1533-position model. The record is from RNAcentral.
CCGACCUACGGGGCGCAGCAGUGGGGAAUAUUGCACAAUGGGGGAAACCCUGAUGCAGCGACGCCGCGUGAGUGAAGAAGUAAUUCGUUAUGUAAAGCUCUAUCAGCAGGGAAGAAAAUGACGGUACCUGAGUAAGAAGCCCCGGCUAACUACGUGCCAGCAGCCGCGGUAAUACGUAGGUGGCAAGCGUUAUCCGGAUUUACUGGGUGUAAAGGGAGCGUAGACGGCAGUGCACGUCUGGAGUGAAAGGCGGGGGCUCAACCCCCGGCCUGCUCUUGCAACUGUACGGCUGGAGU